CGCGCAGCCUCCGCCGCUGCACACUGCGGCCUCUGCUGAACCCCUGCCGCGCCGCCGCCUUCGCCAGUCCGGACCGGACCGGCCCGCGUUCCCUUCCUCCGCUCCAGCCGGCCUCCGGCCCCGCAACCUCCUCCUCGGCGAAGUCUCCCUGGCCGCCCCAUGUCGGCCGCCCCCGCCUACAGCGAAGACAAGGGCGGCUCCGCUGGCCCCGGGGAGCCCGAGUACGGCCACGACCCCGCGAGCGGCGGCAUCUUCUCCUCCGACUACAAGCGACACAUUGUUUCACCAUGUUGCCAGGCUGGUCUCGAACUCCAGGGCUCAAGUGAUCCUCCCGUCUCAGCUUCCCAAAGUGCUGGGAUUACAGGCGUGAGCUGCCACACCCAGCCCACAUGGCUGUCUUCUUAUGGGAAACCAGACAUGGGAUUAGAGACCCACUCUAUUAGAGCAUGAUGACCUGAAGGAGAUGCUGGACACCAACAAGGAUUCUCUCAAGCUGGA
This 498-nucleotide small RNA is filed under the name Pan troglodytes (chimpanzee). Its description in RNAcentral is "processed transcript". The record is from RNAcentral. Lineage: Eukaryota; Metazoa; Chordata; Mammalia; Primates; Hominidae.